UACGUAGGUGGCAAGCGUUGUUCGGAAUUAUUGGGCGUAAAGGGCGCGUAGGCGGUUUGUUAAGUCGGCUGUGAAAGCCCGGGGCUCAACCCCGGAGGGUCAGCCGAUACUGGCAGACUAGAGUACGGAAGAGGUAGCUGGAAUUCCCGGUGUAGCGGUGAAAUGCGUAGAUAUCAAGUGGAACACCAGUGGCGAAGGCGAGUCUCUGGACAUUUCCUGACGCUGAGGCACGAAAGCCAGGGGAGCAAACGGG
RNAcentral lists this ribosomal RNA (253 nucleotides) under uncultured bacterium. Its description in RNAcentral is "partial 16S ribosomal RNA". It matches the Rfam family "Bacterial small subunit ribosomal RNA", at positions 524 to 776 of the family's 1533-position model. The record is from RNAcentral.